UGCAAGUCGAGCGGGCGUAGCAAUACGUCAGCGGCAGACGGGUGAGUAACGCGUGGGAACGUACCUUUUGGUUCGGAACAACACAGGGAAACUUGUGCUAAUACCGGAUAAGCCCUUACGGGGAAAGAUUUAUCGCCGAAAGAUCGGCCCGCGUCUGAUUAGCUAGUUGGUGAGGUAAUGGCUCACCAAGGCGACGAUCAGUAGCUGGUCUGAGAGGAUGAUCAGCCACACUGGGACUGAGACACGGCCCAGACUCCUACGGGAGGCAGCAGUGGGGAAUAUUGGACAAUGGGCGCAAGCCUGAUCCAGCCAUGCCGCGUGAGUGAUGAAGGCCCUAGGGUUGUAAAGCUCUUUUGUGCGGGAAGAUAAUGACGGUACCGCAAGAAUAAGCCCCGGCUAACUUCGUGCCAGCAGCCGCGGUAAUACGAAGGGGGCUAGCGUUGCUCGGAAUCACUGGGCGUAAAGGGUGCGUAGGCGGGUCUUUAAGUCAGGGGUGAAAUCCUGGAGCUCAACUCCAGAACUGCCUUUGAUACUGAAGAUCUUGAGUUCGGGAGAGGUGAGUGGAACUGCGAGUGUAGAGGUGAAAUUCGUAGAUAUUCGCAAGAACACCAGUGGCGGAAGGCGGCUCAC
RNAcentral lists this ribosomal RNA (630 nucleotides) under Bradyrhizobium sp. WD16. Its description in RNAcentral is "bacterial SSU rRNA". It matches the Rfam family "Bacterial small subunit ribosomal RNA", at positions 56 to 729 of the family's 1533-position model. The record is from RNAcentral. Lineage: Bacteria; Pseudomonadati; Pseudomonadota; Alphaproteobacteria; Hyphomicrobiales; Nitrobacteraceae.